GACGAACGCUGGCGGCGUGCUUAACACAUGCAAGUCGAACGGAAAGGCCCUGCUUGCAGGGUACUCGAGUGGCGAACGGGUGAGUAACACGUGGGUGAUCUGCCCUGCACUUCGGGAUAAGCCUGGGAAACUGGGUCUAAUACCGGAUAGGAGCCAUUUUUAGUGUGAUGGUUGGAAAGUUUUUUCGGUGUAGGAUGAGCUCGCGGCCUAUCAGCUUGUUGGUGGGGUAAUGGCCUACCAAGGCGGCGACGGGUAGCCGGCCUGAGAGGGUGGACGGCCACAUUGGGACUGAGAUACGGCCCAGACUCCUACGGGAGGCAGCAGUGGGGAAUAUUGCACAAUGGGAGCAAGCCUGAUGCAGCGACGCCGCGUGGAGGAUGACGGCCUUCGGGUUGUAAACUCCUUUCGCUAGGGACGAAGCUUUUUGUGACGGUACCUAGAUAAGAAGCACCGGCUAACUACGUG
RNAcentral lists this ribosomal RNA (465 nucleotides) under uncultured bacterium. Its description in RNAcentral is "partial 16S ribosomal RNA". It matches the Rfam family "Bacterial small subunit ribosomal RNA", at positions 28 to 507 of the family's 1533-position model. The record is from RNAcentral.